UACGUAGGGGGCAAGCGUUGUCCGGAUUUAUUGGGUUUAAAGGGUGCGUAGGCGGCCCUGUAAGUCAGUGGUGAAAUACUCUAGCUUAACUAGAGGGGUGCCAUUGAUACUGCAGGGCUUGAGUACAGACGAGGUAGGCGGAAUUGACGGUGUAGCGGUGAAAUGCAUAGAUAUCGUCAAGAACUCCGAUAGUGAAGACAGCUUACUAGGCUGUAACUGACGCUGAGGCACGAAAGUGUGGGGAUCAAACAGG
Molecule: ribosomal RNA, 253 nt
Filed under: uncultured bacterium
Lineage: Bacteria
Description: partial 16S ribosomal RNA
Rfam family: Bacterial small subunit ribosomal RNA
Source: RNAcentral